Molecule: small RNA, 77 nt
Organism: Flavobacterium fluvii
Lineage: Bacteria; Pseudomonadati; Bacteroidota; Flavobacteriia; Flavobacteriales; Flavobacteriaceae
Rfam family: Flavo-1 RNA
Source: Rfam
GAUUAGCCCCGAUGGCAGCAAAUAUCCUUUUGGGCUGGGGUUCAGCCCAAAAGAUAUUGCGUACAGCGGGAGAGAAG